RNAcentral lists this long non-coding RNA (1078 nucleotides) under Anas platyrhynchos platyrhynchos (common mallard). RNAcentral describes it as "lncRNA (ENSAPLG00000020624.1)". Lineage: Eukaryota; Metazoa; Chordata; Aves; Anseriformes; Anatidae. The record is from RNAcentral.
CUGGGCUUGUUUUGUGACCACAGGCAAAGAUUGCUUGGAUUUCCUCCCUUUGCCUGCCUAUGGCAUGGCAAUGGCCAUAUCCAGCCUCUCCUGAUGGCUUUGGAUUCCUGCAGGAGCAGUUCCGAGGUGCUGGGCUGGGGUGCCGUGCAGCAGGGCAGACAUCGCACGAAUGCAAAUAUUCAUUCCAAACAAUAAGAUAAGGUCCUGGGCUGGAAGACAAGCAGCCGGCAGUUCGUUGUGGCAUUAAACAAAGUCCAAAGUACUCACAUCACACAAAAUCCAACCAAAGGGCAACACCCUUCUGCUGCUCCUGAAUUGUCAGGGCUAUUUACGGGAUUUUCGGAUGCACGUGAGACAGAUGAUGCAGGAACUGCCAAUCCCCAUGAGCUGUUGAUAAAACCUUCCUCUCCAGACUAGCUCAGCAGGGGCAGAUGGCAUUUUUAGAGUCAUUCCCAAGUGGGCUGCCAUGAGAUGGACCUGUUCUCGAUUGCUCGUGACCCUUCUCAUCAGCAAGCCCAGCAUCUCCCGUUGCCCCGGAUCGGCUGCACACAGGGCUCCGCUUGUUGGGAAAUUCCAGCUAGCUGAAAUCGGAGCUGGAUCAGAGGAACCCCUGGACUGCAGAGGAGGAGGAGGAGGAGGAGAACUGUGCGGCUCAUGCAGCGGGGCAGAGCCACAUUUCAUUCCUUGCAGCAGACCCGGCAGGAUGGGACCUUCUACCUUGGGGCUACCCUGCUCUGAGCAUGACUGUGGGGUUUCCUACCUCUUCACAAAUAAUUCAGAGAGGCCUCUGGUCUUUACCAACACAGAAGAGGAAAAGCAGCAGCAGUGCCCGCAGCCAGUCCCCAAGCAGUGCUAUCCCCAAGCUAAGACAAGCAGGGCACCUCGCCAUUGCCAAAGGGCAAACUGUUUGUGCCCUUCAGGUAGAGAUGUUGAUUUCCCUGGGAUAAUGCAAGGAAGACUUGGCAAAGUCAUCUUGUUUGUGGGAACACCCCAGUGUGCCCUGACAGGCUCAGCAGGAGGAAAGCAGGGAUAUAGCCCAGAGCAGCUCUCCAAGUGUCCCUCAGCACGCUCAGCCUGA